GUGUGGAAGACACUAAAGGACCUAAACUAACAAAGAGAAACAGCUCAUUGUGCGGGGUAUUACACUCUUAAUGUCUGAAUGCGAUAAUCCGCACGAUGAUCUCUUUAUCUUUGUUUGUUUAGGUCCCUUAGUUUCUUCUAUACC
Molecule: microRNA precursor, 144 nt
Organism: Arabidopsis lyrata subsp. lyrata
Lineage: Eukaryota; Viridiplantae; Streptophyta; Magnoliopsida; Brassicales; Brassicaceae
Rfam family: MIR840 microRNA precursor family
Source: Rfam